Heterocephalus glaber (naked mole-rat) is the source of this 11129-nucleotide long non-coding RNA. NCBI's taxonomy places the organism in Eukaryota, Metazoa, Chordata, Mammalia, Rodentia, Bathyergidae. The record is from Ensembl.
GUGGUGCCUGACUCUGCCAGACUCUCUGUCUGUGCCCCAGGGAAGCGACAUGCAGCUCCCAGGACUUUGUUUCCUUCAUCGGUAAAAUAGGAAUUUAAAAACCGGCACUAAACGUCUGCUCUCAAGGAUCACUGUGAGGAUGAAACGGCAGCUCCAGUAUGGCCCAGCCAGGUGUGGACAGGAGGCUUCUGGACAUGAAGAUGUGAACACACUGUGUGGUCUGCAAGCCUGGUGUGCACACGGCUGCUGGCUGACACGCCUGUCCCAGCCACAGCCCCAUGGCAUGCUUGUCUCCAGGCAUGAGUCCAAGCUGGCUCCAUCUUUCAGCACUGGACCCUAGAGAGCAUCCAGUCUUCUUCAAACCUCUGUUUCCCCAUCUGCAAAAUGGCAGUCUCAGGGCCUCCACCCUGCACCUCAAAUUCUGAGGGCCUGAUGCAUUUCUGAGUUCCCAACUUUUGGAUUUUUAGAAAAGUAAUAGAGUGUGGGUGUUACUUCAUAUGUAACACUAUGUUAUGGAUUAGCUCCAAAAUGUACCCCAAAAGUCAUAUGGGUGGAAGGUGACUGCAUCAUGGAUUCACUCACUGGUGACCUCAGGGCUGAGUGUGCUGUUAGGCGUGGGCCUGGCUGACGCUGGUCCCUGGGGUCUCUCUGCUUCCUGGGUGCAGCUGUCCUCUGCUGGGCCUUCCACCAAACCUUUCUGCUGUGGAGCUGGUAGACCAUGGACAGAACCCACUGAGACUGUGAGCUAAGUAAACCUGUCCUCCCCUAGGCUGUGGGUGCUGGUAUUGUAUUCCAGCAAUGGAACGUGACCGAGACACACCACUAGUCCUGCGUCAAACUUACCAACAUUUCUCCAGCAAAUCUAUGAAUGUCCAAAUUAAGCAGAUUACGUAAAACCACGAGUAAAUUCAUGCUAGCUGAGGUCAGGUUUUGCCACCAAAUGAAGUAAUUGUUUUAAGUUGCUGUGUUCAGAACAUUGUGCGUGAAGAACUAGAGAUGUGAGUAGCCGUCCAGUGCCACCUCCCUCAUGGGAAGACAGGAGUCCUGUGCCUGUGGAGGGUGCUGCAGGGACAUGGCUUUACAACACUGGCUGCCAUGCACAGCUUUUCAUGGUGGCUCUGAGCCAGGAGCCAUUUUCCUUAUGAUUGGUGUAUGUUUGUGGUACAUAAAAGUUCCGUAUAUGUGCCCCUCUCUCUUCCCUGGGUCCCUGUCCCCUUCUCCACAAAGUCUGCCUCCCCGUUUCCUACCAUCUCUUUUAUUUUGCUCUUUAGAUUAUUUAUAUUUUGGGUUUCUCAGAGAUGAGAAACUGAUAUUUAACCCCUGUCUGAUUUCUUUCACUUAGCAUGAUGGUCUCAAGAUGCACCCAUUCUGUUAAUGACUCACAUCUGUCCUGCUUCUCAGCUGAGUUGUACUCCAUCGUGUGUGCAGCAUACACCACUUUUUUUUGGUACUGGGAAUUGAACUCAGUUCCUUGCACUUGCACAGCAGGCAGCAGAACCACUGAGCUAAAUCCCCGGCCCUACGCCACAUUUUAAUGCCCAUAGUGAAGAGGGGAACAGAGGCCCAGGGCAGUUGAGUAGCUGCUCAUUGUACAUAGCUCUAAAUGACCAGCUGGCCCUCAAUGUCCUAGCCUGGCAGCAUCCACCCAUUAUGUGCUUGUCACUAAGCUGGGAAGGAGAAGUGGCAACUCAGGCCUCUGACUCCUUUCUUUGUUUGCUUGCGGUCACACUCUGGGCAGGUGCUCACCACUGAAAUGGACUCCAGCCAGGCCUGGACUUUGACUCUGCCCUCUCAGCUCACCAGGCCUCUACUGGAGGGAGAUGUGAAAGAGAAAGUUAAAAGCGAGCACGUCUUUCUGGAAGUCUGGCUGGGCCUGCACUCAAUCUCCCAGCCCCGCUGUCCGCACUGCAGUGCUUGCUCUCCUCGGGCAGCGGCCUGACUGCCUGGCUGCUCCUGCUCUGUCCAGGCAGCCCAGCUGGUCAGAGAUCCCUGCAGGGCCCCGGCCCUCAGAGAGGUCACCCAGUCCCCCUUCCCAGCGGCCAGGUUGCCUGGCCAGUGUGGAUGUGGGGAGGAGCAGAGGUCUCCUGGAUGCUGUGGCUGCACAGACAUCUCCAGACUGCCAAGUUCUGCCUGCCUCCCGUGCAGCCAGCACCCGGCCAGGCUUGAAUCAUUCUUCAGCUUGAGCUGCGUCCCACGCUGCCGGCUCCAGUUCGAUCCCUGCAGAGCAGCACUCAUCCACCCACACUUGCUGCUGGCACCCGGUUGCCUGUCAAACUCACCCCGCUGCAUGCUGGGUCCUCACACCCAUGGCACACAUCCCAGUUCCAGGGUCGCUGCAGUGACGGAUUGAGUCCCAGAGCUUGAAAUUGUCCUCAACUCUGCCCUUGCAUCCCUGUCUGAUGGUGAGGUCUCUGGGUUCCUGCAGCCUGGUCACUCUGGUCAGCGGGUCCAGCUCCGAUGACUGCAGUGUUUCCUGACAUGUCCCCUGCUGCCUUGUGUGUGGUUUGUGAAAUCAUGAGAAAUAGACACAUUGAUCUCUGCCCUGGUCCCUGGCCUACAGCUGCUGAAGCCCUUGCAGACAGGGGCACUGGGAGGUUGUUUGUUCUAGUAUCGGGUCUUUGACCCCAGUUCCAGAGCUCCUAGGAUGUCUGUCAUUUCCUGAGUGAUAGGAGGGUCCAGCACACAGGUCCUCGUCCUCUGGAAUUUCCUGGGAGGUGAGAGUAUCCAUUGUUCCUGUGAGGGACCUCUCUGGUGGGCUCCUGGGAAGCGGGAGGACCAAGCCAGCUCCACCUGCCCCUCAUCGUCUGGGAAGAGGAUUAAUAAUUGGUUAUGCAGAUGGGAUGCAGCCUCCAUAAAAAUCCCUGAAUUCCUGGGUUUGAGAGCUUCCGGACAGCUGAACACACAGAAGUCUCUGGAGGGGAACCCCGAGGAUGGACCCUGUCCAGGGCCCUCUCCACUGUGUCCCUUGUUGUAUCCUUUAUGACAAAUGACUGUACUAUGUAGAGUGUGCUCCUGCAUUCUGCUUUAACAGAUUAACAAUGUCGAUGAGGGACAGUAGGAACCCCUAGUCUGUAGCCUGUCAGUCAGAAGUUCCAGAGGCCUGCACUCGCAGGUGGCAUCGCAAGAGGGGACAAUAUGGCUGAGCCCUGUGACGCUGUCUCCAAGUGGACAGGGUCAGAAUCGAGUUGAGCACACACUUGGUGCUGAAGGCUGGAGGGCUGGCUGUGAAUGGGAGAAAACCUCACCCACGCUUGGAUCUGGGAAGUGUGUUGUGUGGUCUUCACAGUAAGACUAUUUUCUAGCUGGAGUUAGCUCAGCUGACCCCAUCUGCCUGGGUGACUUUCACAAACUUAUUGAGUGAAAGGUGCUAAAUACAUGACUAAAUGUAUGUGAAGUUCAAGAAUAAGCAGACUGGCAGAGGUAGGUGCUAUCAUUGCCUCUAGGGCGGGUGUGCCGCAGACCAGCUGCAGUCGAUGUAGGGUAGGAAGGGGAGAUGUCCUGGGCCGGAGAUGAGAAAAGAACCUUCACAAGCAAUGUUCAGGUUCCCUCUGAGAAGUCUUUGGGUCUGAUUUAUUUUUAUAUCUUUAAGCAACAGCUAAGAGGCAUUGGGCGGAACAUGUUCACAUUUUAUGUUGCCUUAGCAAUAUCUGAUGAGGUACAGGUUAUUUUUGCUAAACAGUAUAUUUUUUCUAAGCUGAUUCAUUUCAUUGAACAUCAUGAAUACAUUUCUUAAAAAUUGCAAUUGUUCCCUCAUUGUCCCAUACCUAAGCAGAACAAAAAGUAACUUAAUCAAAUUAAAUGUCAAACUUGUGGUCACCAGCUAGCCCUUGAGAAACUGCACAAUGGUUAAUAUAGUUUGCUAUUAGCUCUAUUUAUCUUAACUAAAUGUCAUUUGGGUUCAUAGUCCAUGAGCAGGAGAUAUUUACAGCACUUUGAGAGAUAUUGAGUAACUUGCCUCCUUAAUGCAUUUACCUGUCUUAACGUUCUUUUUAUUUCCCAUUUCCCACUAUUUCUUACAUCUAAAGCCUGACCUUUCAAUCUCUUCAUAAGACCCCUUUAGUAAAAAGAAUGUCAGCAAUAAGAGAGGGAGUUAUAGUAGUGGGCAACAGAGGGGGUUUUAGGAGAGGUUUCUUUAGGAGUGGAUGUGGCAAUAGAACUAAGAGAAACUGGAAUUUGGGGCUUAUGAGCCAGAUCAGAUUUCAAUAUAUCAUUGCCAAUUUGCCUCAUGGAGAGUUUGUUGUUAGUCAUAAACACAAUGGCUCCUGUGAUCAGAGGAAUAAUUAUAAACAUUAUGGCAAGAAAAAAAUAAAACAUGAGGGUACGAUGUGUUCCACCCUUUCUUUCCCCCAGCUGGAACUUUGUCAAGCAGCAAUGGAGGUCCGUUGGGCUUCGCCACAGUUCUGCAUGACCUAAAAUCCCUCCACACUUGGAUUUCAUGAUGUUUUAUGGAAUGUGCAGUGACCUUGUUUUCCACGUUUCGAACCAGAAAAUCUUUGGACUCAUGGGAACAUGGGUUUGGAGCCAGACAGACAGCCUGACAACAGGGCUGUGGAAGAACUCAAGGCCGGUGCUGGUCCAGGGAGGUAACCCCACUGCUUGGUCCUUGGCAGAAGGGCUGCAGGCAUCCCUAGGGUUAGGAAGAGCCAUGCUCCAGUCCCCAUCUGCCCAGUAUACGAUGCAGGCCUGAGAAAAAAGACGCUAAGAGACAGAACUAGAAGGGAAAGUGGGGGCCAGGAUGGCCAAUGCCGGUACAGCUGACAAAGAUGCUGGCCAGUCCCAGGCACUGAGUUUUACUGGCAAUCAGUUGAGUUAAAGGCGAGCUACAAAUAGUCUCUAUGGAAAUUAAUGUAAAAAAGGCUCAUAAAGGACAAGACAAACCAUUCUCGAAUUUAGGAACAUAAUAGACAAAAUAUAUGGUUGCAAUUAGAACAUUGUCCUUCUAGUCAGAAGGGUUUAGUUGUGGGAACGGAAUUUGGGUGUGAGUUACUCUGACCUCAGCACGUAGGCUUCAGCCAGACUCACUUCUAUAAACAAGCCAGCUGUGGGGUUAACUCUUCACAGCCUGCUUUGGGAAUAAUCAAUUUUAUGGUCCUCUGCACUCCAGGAGUGUUAGUUGUGCACAGGCUUAUCUUCUCACUGCUCUGAUAUGCACAUGAAGAUAGGUUUCAAGGCAAAAAGCUUUCCAUGAGGCUUAGCUGAAUAUUUUGAAGAGCAAAUCAAGACUCAGUCAGGUGUGUGAUGAUACAUGGAUAGGGCUACCAGCAGGGAAACUGACAGCCAGGAAGGCAGGAGCUCCCAUCAACGAAGCUCUCUAGAAUCCACAAGCUAAUGAAGUCAAGGCCAAUUGUCAGUUAGUCAGCAGGCAUAUCACCGCCAGCAUCCAGGGCAGUGGGUGCAACCACAGGUGACUGCUAAUGGGCAAAUUAGGGAACUUCACGGGCAGCAGUUCACAGAACUAGAUGGCAGGGAGACAGGGCUGCUGGAUCAAGGAGGUCCUGGGCACAGGGGUCCACAUGUGGGAUUUCUGGUGCAACUGAGAAACCCAAGGAGCCGGCUUCCUCUAGCUGCCAACUGCAGCAGCACGGUGCGUUCAUGAGCACACGGGCAUUCUUGUUUGCAGUGGCAUCACUGGUUGCUCUUGCCCUGUUUUCCUCACGCACCAGAGGAAGCACAGGGCCGAGGCUGGGCCAGAUGGUGCCACUUGUACAGGCUGGAGUUCCUCGUAGGACCACCUGCUUACCUUCAUGCUGCCCGACCCCACUGCAGCCCUGGGAACCCUCUGCUCCAUGAACUGACUUGACUCCACUCGGUAACUGAUCACUGGGCCCAAGUUCAUUGAUUUGUUAAACUAAAGGGUUUUUGUGGUGGUAUAUUUGAUUUCUAACCUUUUCCUUUGAAGAUUAGUGUGUAUAUGUGCAGGGGGAGAUUAAGAGACAAGUGCAUUUGCAUAUCUACACAUACAGCCAGUGUUCUGUGUCCCAGAUCCACAUCUGUGACUGAACCUGCUGUCUCCCUGCACUGUGCAGUUAGGGCCAUGAUGGCUGCACCUGUACAGGACAUGUCCAUACUUUCCUUCCUGCCAUUCCCCAAACAAUGCAGCAUAUCAGCUAUUUAGGUGGCGCUUACACUGCUGUAGGCAUCACAAGUCAUCUAGGGAUGAUUUAUACUGGGGUUGUACAAUAUUUUAUGGAAGGUACUAGAGCAUCCUCAGAUUUGGGCACCCAUAGGGGGCCCAGGGGCCCAUAUCUGUGGAUACUGAGGCAGGACCAUGCUUCAGUGAGGAGCCCAUGUUAGUGCACAGAGGAGAGGAGCAGCAGAAAGCACCGGGCAUCGAGGGGCCCUGCACCCACAGUGACUUUCUGUGUCCCUUCACCAGGGUCCCCUUUCCUCUUUGAGUUUUGAAUCCCUCCACUGGAGGGUAGAGAAGAUGAUUUCACCCUGCUCUGGGCUCCGCUCAGCUCUGAUCUCCUGCUCUGGGCUGGGACACCUGUGUUGUCACCUGCCUCCUCUGCUCACCCUGCAGGAAAUACACUCGAGAAGGACACUUGGCAUGAGAAUGUGCCUGAGGGAGGCAGUCUUGCUCUUCCUGACACUGCUUUCCUGGGAGGCCAAAGUCCACUGGAUUGGCAAAGACCCCUAAACACUGUCCUGAGAAAUGCCAGGGCAACCCUGUGCCCUACACUUCUUCCAUGAAGGACCAGUCCCAGCUGCAGAAGGGCCAGGGCAAGGUGGUCAAGAAGACUGUCCAGGGCAUUCAUCAGAGGUCACCUUGACCACUCAAUGUGCAGCUCCUCAGGGCAGAGAGGGCACAGCUGUGGCAGCUAAAGCAGAGGGCACAUUAUACUCGGGCCCCUUCCGCCUCUGCUUCCCAUACCCUGCCCAUACCUGGCUUUGUUUCCUAGUCUCCCUCCAUGCGCCCACCCUCCUCUUGAGCAGAAUUCCAGCAUUUUCCAGUGCUCUUGUUCCUUCAGUGAGACUGGCAGCAUCACUCAGACAAAUCUGCCUGCUCAGUCUCUUUGGCCAGGGUUGAGUUGCUCCCGCUGGCCACUCCAUGUGCCUUAUACAUUUCCUCUCUUCACAGAACCAGGAGCUUCUGGAAAGCCUGAACUCAGGGAUGCUGUGAGACUUCUCAGGGCACAUUCUUUUCCUUAAAUUCCUUUAUUGGUACAUUUUAGGUAAACAAUACAGUUACAUUCAUCAUUGGGAUCUUGCACCUAUACAUGAUGCAUCUCGGUUCUUAUUUUUCCCCUCUCCCCUGCCCUCCCUUCACCCCCUCCACCCUUCUCUAUUUACAGAGACUUUGUUUCCAUUUUUUCCUUUUCUCAUAUUUUUUCCUUUCCCUUUUUUCCUUUCCCCUACCCCUCCCACUUCCCCUACUCCUUUAGACCUUUUCUUCCUAUUGCACAUUAUCAAUUAUUCAUUUUAAUCCUUAUUUACACUUUCAGUUUCUCACACCAGAGAAACUAUUUGGUAUUUACACAUGUGUGUCCUAUUUAUUUCACUUAAUAGUAUCACCUCAAUGUGGAUCCAUUUAGCUAUAAAUGUCUCUAGUUUGUCAUUCUUUAUGGCUGAGUAGUACUCCAUUUUAUUUUUUAAAAACCCCACAUCUUCUUUAUCCAGUCUCUAGUUGAUGGGCACAUGGGCUAUUUCGAAGCUUUAGCUAUUACAAACUGCUGCUAUAAACAUGGGUAUGCAUAUAUUGCUGUGGUAUGAUUCUUUUAAUUCUUUUGGGAAAAUACCCAGCAGAGGAAUAGCUGGGUCAAAUGGGACCUCUAGCCCUAGUUCUUUGAGGUAUCUCCAUACUGAUUUCCAUAGUGGCUGCACCAGUCUGCACUCCCACCAGCAAUGGAGAAGGGUUCCUUUCUCUCCACACCCCGCCAGCAUUUGUUAUUGGUUGAUUUCUUGAUAGCAGCCAUUCUUUGUGGGGUGAGGUGGAAUCUCAGCAUUGUUUUCAUCUGCAUCUCUCGAAUGACCAGUGAUGUUGAACAUUUUUUCAUAUGUUUCUUUGCUGCUUUUACUUCUUUGAGAAAUGUCUGUUUAUUUCAGACAUUAUUUCUGUUUUAUUUCAUUUUUUGGAUUGGGUCUUUAUAUCUGGGGGGUCUGAUUUUUUUUUAGUUCUUUAUGUAUUCUAGAUAGUAGUCCUUUGUUUGAGGUACAGCUGCUAAAAUUUUUUCCCCACAUUGUAGGUUGUCUCUUAGCUCUGUUGGUGGUUUCUUUUGCAGUGCAGAAGAUUUUAAUAAGAUGAGAUCCCAGUUGUCGAUUCUUUGUGCUAGCUCCCAUGCUACUGAGGUUUUGUUCAUAAAGUCUUUUCCUAUGCCAAUGUCUUUGAGAGUUCUACCUAACUUAUCUUCCAGCAAGUUUAGUGUUUCUGUUUUAAUAUUUAGAUCUUUAAUCCACUUCGAUCUUAGUUUAGUGCAUGGUGAUAGGUAUGGGUCUAGUAUGUAUGAUAGGUAUGUCACUCUUUUUGUUUUAUAUAAUAGAAAAUGAAUGUCUAUUUGGCAAAAAAUUUUCCCAAUGAUUAUUAAGCUUUUUUGUUCUUUUUUGUUGUUGUUGCUUUUUAGGCAGGGUCUCUCUUUGUAGUUCAGGCUGGCCUUGAACUCACUGUGCAGCCCAGGCUGUCUCAAACUUGUGGCAAUCCUCCUGCCUCAGCCUCCCGAGUGCUGGGACUACAGGAGUGCACCACCACACCCAGCUUUAAGCUUUUUUUUAUUCUUAAAAUCAGCCUGGGGCCAGGGAUUUAGCUCAGUGGUUCCCUGCCUGCCUUGCAAGCGGAAGGACCCGAGUUCGAUUCCCGGCACCAAAAAAAAAAAAAAAAAAAAAAAAGCAGCCUGAACCUGUGUUACCUAAGAUAAAGAACAACUUUCUACCUCCAUGUGAUGAGAUCAGGGAUGAGGUUAAAGGUGCAGAUGGCCUGGUGUCUCUGUAACUCAUGUGACCCUGUGAAGGGGGUGGGAGGCUGUGUCUUGCACCAAGCAGUUCCCUUCCUGGAUUUGUCGUUUGCUUCCUUGUUAAAUUCUGCACAGUGUGAACGUGUUGCUUUCUCUAUUUGACCCUUUAGCCUGGGAGGGUCCCAGCCUGUGGGUAACAGUGCUGAGGUGGGAUGGGAGAAACGAAGACAGGUGGAGAACGGGCAAAGAGAGGUGAAACUUUAAAAUUGUGUUGCUAGAAAAACUCAGCUUCAGGACACAAGUCACUCGGCACACUCAAAAAUACUUCUUCUUUCCCCUAAGGGUUGUAGGGAAGGUUGAGGGACAGGCAGGGAAAGUUAAAGGGCUUCAGCGAGGUUUCUGGCAAAUAAAGAGUUAAAGCCCUGCUAGAGACAGUAGCUAAGAAAAACAAACAGAGCUGAUGAGGCUCCUGGCUCACUUAAGGGCAAGGCUCAAUUCCUGCACCUCUGUAUAAGUACAUACAUAUUUUGUUAUUUUCUCACCAUAUUAAUACACUAAAAUGCACAGGUAUCCUUUUUACUAACUCAGCCUUAAAUGUAAUUGUGCUGCAAGUCUCACAAGAUAAACACCCGGACAACACAAAGGGACCGCAGAAGUGCUUGUUCCAGAAUGUAUACAUGGGCAACAGCGAGGGCCAUGGCCGAGUCAGAGGUCUCAGAGCCCAGAACAGCCAGUGAAGUUACGACAGCUCUCAAGGGACACGGUCCGUUUCUUGCCAUGUAAUCAGAGGCUACGAACAAAGACCCCUUGAGUUCUGGCUCUGGGCUCCCUAACUUACUCCAACAAAGUAGCUAUCUAUCGCUUUAUUUCUCUCCCUCUCUCCAAUCAAGUAAUUUUGUUUCCCCUUUUCCCUUCCUUUCCUAAUAAAGUGAUUUUGUCUCUCCUUCAGAACAUAUAUCUCUAAUUCUUUUUUUGUGUGUAUGUUGUUUUACAAACCCUAGGUAAAAAUCUACCCUCAGGAGCUGUAACAGGGUGAGGGCCUAAGGCACCUGGGCUCAACUUUUCUCCCAUGAAUUAUACUUCCUGCCACAGAAAUCUGGAAGCUGCGAUACACACAGACGUCAGCCUUCUAACUUAGCCUGGCCGGCACGGAAAUGAAGUCCUAGGUCCCCCACCUUGAGGACACCCGACUCCAUGGGAACUCCACCCCAGACCAAGAUGCAUCUCUGUCCCAAGGCUUGUCCUCCAUUCUCUGAGAGGGGACUGUUUUAAUUUUGCCUAAUAAACCUCUUCACUCCUCUUGCUGAUGAAUCUUGAAAAUACUUUUUCUGCGAUGGAAGUCAGCGAACUUUCAACCUGUUGCAUGGGUGUGAAUGCUGCUGAUCGAGGGGACCUGUCUCUGGGCCGACGAACCUGCCCUCACCAGCAUGGCGCAGUCGCAGCUGAAGAGAAGAAGUGGCGCCACGGGCAUCCACACACUCGCAGAGUGCACACCGUGGGCCAAGCCGAGAGGUGCCUCAGUGCUAACAGAAUUCUGCACAGGGUUAGAUGCGAGCCUUACCAACAGCUAGAAACCAUACACUAUGACACGGAUUACCUUUUUAGCUAUUUUAUUUUAUUAUUAUUAUUUUUUUGAGAUGGGGUCUUGCUACAUAGCCCAGGCUGGCUUUGAACUCACGGAGAUCCUCCUACCUCCCUAGUCUUGGGAUUCUAAGUGUGCAUUACACACCUGGCUCUUUUUAGUCUAUUUUAACUCUUGAUCAGUAAGCUUAUAAAACUGUGUUUCAACCAGCUUUGAACCAUCAUAUACCAUAAUUUUUUAUCUGAAUGAAAUUAUUAAGGCAGAUAUUCAUAAUAUAAUUAAACAGAAACACUAUGAAGUUCUGGUUUUUUUUGGUUUUUUUCAGUACUGAGAAUUGAACCCAGGGCCUUCACACUGAGCUACAUCCCAGCCCCUUUUACUUUUUUUUUUUUUUGGUACUGGGAGUCUAACUCGGGACCUUGUGCUUGUGGGGCAGGCCGCAGAACCACUGAGCUAAAUCCGGCCCCUUUUUUAAUUUUUAUUUUGAGACAGGCUCUUGCUAAGUCACCAAGUCGCCCAGGUUGGGUUCAAAUUUGUGGUCCUUCUGCCUCAGCCUCCCAGAGUGCUGGGAUCACACGUGUGCCCCACCCCACCCAGCUUAGUGUUCUUCUAGCCUUAAUAUUCUUUCCCCUCAUCCUUCUCCUUAAUUUGCUUGUCAU